CCUACGGGAGGCAGCAGUGGGGAAUUUUGGACAAUGGGGGCAACCCUGAUCCAGCCAUGCCGCGUGUGUGAAGAAGGCCUUCGGGUUGUAAAGCACUUUCGGACGGAACGAAAUCGCGCGGGUGAAUAUCCCGCGUGGAUGACGGUACUGUAUGAAGAAGCACCGGCUAACUACGUGCCAGCAGCCGCGGUAAUACGUAGGGUGCGAGCGUUAAUCGGAAUUACUGGGCGUAAAGCGUGCGCAGGCGGCUUCGCAAGUCAGACGUGAAAUCCCCGGGCUUAACCUGGGAAUGGCGUUUGAAACUACGGAGCUGGAGUGUGGCAGAGGGAGGUAGAAUUCCACGUGUAGCGGUGAAAUGCGUAGAUAUGUGGAGGAAUACCGAUGGCGAAGGCAGCCUCCUGGGCCAACACUGACGCUCAUGCACGAAAGCGUGGGGAGCAAACGAGGUAUUAGACUACCCGUGGUACGUCCACGCCCUAAACUAUGUACAACUAGUUGUUGGGGUAGUUAACUCCCUUAGUAACGCAGCUACGCGUGAGUAGACCGCCGUGGGAGGUACGGUCGCGAGAGUAAACUACGAAGAAGUUAGACGGCGUGAGACGUGCCGACGGACGACGACGACGGGAGGUUAGG
RNAcentral lists this ribosomal RNA (633 nucleotides) under uncultured bacterium. RNAcentral describes it as "bacterial SSU rRNA". The stretch from base 1 to 548 matches the Rfam family "Bacterial small subunit ribosomal RNA", at positions 338 to 873 of the family's 1533-position model. The record is from RNAcentral.